This 633-nucleotide long non-coding RNA is filed under the name Polistes fuscatus (common paper wasp). Its description in RNAcentral is "uncharacterized LOC122519023". The record is from RNAcentral. Lineage: Eukaryota; Metazoa; Arthropoda; Insecta; Hymenoptera; Vespidae.
UACUCUCUCACUCUCACGCGUCUACCGCGUUCCUGUGUAGCGUUUUAUUCAAAAGUGACUGUGAAUAAGUAACGUGAGAAAUGGAGAAAAAAACUCGGACGAAGUAGUCAUUAAUUCAAUUUUUUAACGAAAAACGAAUUUUGAAAAUCGAGAUUUUCUACAACGUGAACUAAUAUAAUUUUACCAAAUGAAAAAAUAUAACAAUAUAAAGGAGUAUAUCAAUUUGAAUCCUGUUGGACAUUUAGAAGACAGUUACAAAACGUUUUAAGUAUUGUAUCAAAAAUUUAAAUAUAAAUAAAUGUUCAAAAAAAGCAAAUGCUCGUGUUUGCAAAUAAAGAAGUAACAAGUGAAAGAAUUCGAGCAAGCAAUAGCUGACCUAUUGGAAAUCCAACAAAAAGUCGUUCGUGCCAGUUUCGAUUCCGCUAAGAUUACAAAUUUUAAGAAAGCAAAGAUAUGAUAUAGAAUGGGUAUAUAAGUGUCUUCUAAUUAGAAUUAAAAGCCCCGCAGUAUAUGACCAACUUGGAAAAGAUACUUUAAAUCUUACAUCCAAAAAUUGAAUAGUGUUUUCGGUUUCCUAAAUUAUUCUUCAUGUAACUAUCGAAUUGCUGUUGUCUCUUCCUCUUUAGCUUUAUC